UACGGAGGGUGCGAGCGUUGUUCGGAUUCAUUGGGCGUAAAGGGUGCGUAGGCGGCGCGGUAAGUCGGGUGUGAAAUCUCGGGGCUUAACUCCGAAACUGCAUUCGAUACUGCCGUGCUUGAGGACUGGAGAGGAGACUGGAAUUUACGGUGUAGCGGUGAAAUGCGUAGAUAUCGUAAGGAAGACCAGUGGCGAAGGCGGGUCUCUGGACAGUUCCUGACGCUGAGGCACGAAGGUCAGGGGAGCAAACGGG
This 253-nucleotide ribosomal RNA is filed under the name uncultured bacterium. Its description in RNAcentral is "partial 16S ribosomal RNA". It matches the Rfam family "Bacterial small subunit ribosomal RNA", at positions 524 to 776 of the family's 1533-position model. The record is from RNAcentral.